UAGGGAAUCUUCCACAAUGGACGCAAGUCUGAUGGAGCAACGCCGCGUGAGUGAAGAAGGUUUUCGGAUCGUAAAGCUCUGUUGUUGGUGAAGAAGGAUAGAGGCAGUAACUGGUCUUUAUUUGUCGGUAAUCAACCAGAAAGUCACGGCUAACUACGUGCCAGCAGCCGCGGUAAUACGUAGGUGGCAAGCGUUGUCCGGAUUUAUUGGGCGUAAAGCGAGCGCAGGCGGAAUGAUAAGUCUGAUGUGAAAGCCCACGGCUCAACCGUGGAACUGCAUCGGAAACUGUCAUUCUUGAGUGCAGAAGAGGAGAGUGGAAUUCCAUGUGUAGAGGUGGAAUGCGUAGAUAUAUGGAAGAACACCAGUGGCGAAGGCAGCUCUCUGGUCUGCAACUGACGCUGAGGCUCGAAAGCAUGGGUAGCGAACAGG
This 429-nucleotide ribosomal RNA is filed under the name bacterium. RNAcentral's name for it is "partial 16S ribosomal RNA". It matches the Rfam family "Bacterial small subunit ribosomal RNA", at positions 355 to 776 of the family's 1533-position model. The record is from RNAcentral.